RNAcentral lists this ribosomal RNA (1200 nucleotides) under metagenome. Its description in RNAcentral is "bacterial SSU rRNA". It matches the Rfam family "Bacterial small subunit ribosomal RNA", at positions 95 to 1329 of the family's 1533-position model. The record is from RNAcentral.
GUGGCGGACGGGUGAGUAACGCGGGGGAAUCUGCCCUCAGGAGGGGGAUAACGGCUGGAAACGGCCGCUAAUACCCCAUAUGCCGAGAGGUGAAAUGAAUUUCGCCUGAGGAUGAGCCCGCGUCUGAUUAGCUAGUUGGUGGGGUAAUGGCCUACCAAGGCAACGAUCAGUAGCUGGUCUGAGAGGAUGAUCAGCCACACUGGGACUGAGACACGGCCCAGACUCCUACGGGAGGCAGCAGUGGGGAAUUUUCCGCAAUGGGCGAAAGCCUGACGGAGCAACGCCGCGUGAGGGAUGAAGGCCUCUUUGGCUGUAAACCUCUUUUCUCAAGGAAGAAGACCUGACGGUACUUGAGGAAUAAGCCACGGCUAAUUCCGUGCCAGCAGCCGCGGUAAUACGGGAGUGGCAAGCGUUAUCCGGAAUUAUUGGGCGUAAAGCGUCCGCAGGCGGCCUUGUAAGUCUGUUGUUAAAGCGUGGAGCUCAACUCCAUUUAAGCAAUGGAAACUACAAGGCUGGAGUGUGGUAGGGGCAGAGGGAAUUCCCGGUGUAGCGGUAAAAUGCGUAGAUAUCGGGAAGAACACCAGUGGCGAAGGCGCUCUGCUGGGCCAUAACUGACGCUCAUGGACGAAAGCCAGGGGGGCGAAAGGGAUUAGAUACCCCUGUAGUCCUGGCCGUAAACGAUGAACACUAGGUGUCGGGGGAAUCGACCCCCUCGGUGUCGUAGCCAACGCGUUAAGUGUUCCGCCUGGGGAGUACGCACGCAAGUGUGAAACUCAAAGGAAUUGACGGGGGCCCGCACAAGCGGUGGAGUAUGUGGUUUAAUUCGAUGCAACGCGAAGAACCUUACCAGGGUUUGACAUCCUGCGAACCCCUGAGAAAUCGGGGGGUGCCUUCGGGAGCGCAGAGACAGGUGGUGCAUGGCUGUCGUCAGCUCGUGUCGUGAGAUGUUGGGUUAAGUCCCGCAACGAGCGCAACCCACGUCUUUAGUUGCCAGCAUUCAGUUGGGCACUCUAGAGAGACCGCCGGUGAUAAACCGGAGGAAGGUGUGGAUGACGUCAAGUCAUCAUGCCCCUUACAUCCUGGGCUACACACGUACUACAGUGCUACGGACAAAGGGCAGCAAGCUCGCGAGAGUUAGCAAAUCCCAUAAACCGUGGCUCAGUUCAGAUCGUAGGCUGCAACUCGCCUACGUGAAGGAGU